UACGAAGGGGGCUAGCGUUGUUCGGAAUUACUGGGCGUAAAGCGCGUGUAGGCGGCCCGUUAAGUCGGGGGUGAAAGCACAGAGCUCAACUCUGGAAUUGCCUUCGAUACUGGCGGCCUGGAGCAUGAUAGAGGCGAGUGGAAUUGUGAGUGUAGAGGUGAAAUUCGUAGAUAUUCGCAGGAACACCAGUGGCGAAGGCGACUCGCUGGAUCAUUGCUGACGCUGAGACGCGAAAGCGUGGGGAGCAAACAGG
Molecule: ribosomal RNA, 253 nt
Filed under: uncultured bacterium
Lineage: Bacteria
Description: partial 16S ribosomal RNA
Rfam family: Bacterial small subunit ribosomal RNA
Source: RNAcentral